RNAcentral lists this ribosomal RNA (450 nucleotides) under uncultured bacterium. RNAcentral describes it as "bacterial SSU rRNA". It matches the Rfam family "Bacterial small subunit ribosomal RNA", at positions 355 to 796 of the family's 1533-position model. The record is from RNAcentral.
UGGGGAAUCUUGGACAAUGGGGGAAACCCUGAUCCAGCGACGCCGCGUGGGUGAUGAAGGCCUUCGGGUCGUAAAGCCCUGUCGAAGGGGAAGAAACUCUUGCCGGUGAACAAUCGGCGAGAUUGACGGUACCCUUAAAGGAAGCACCGGCUAACUCUGUGCCAGCAGCCGCGGUAAGACAGAGGGUGCAAGCGUUGUUCGGAAUUACUGGGCGUAAAGGGCGCGUAGGCGGUCCGCUAAGUUCGGUGUGAAAUCCCCUGGCUCAACUGGGGAACGGCGCUGGAAACUGGUGGACUCGAGUACCGGAGAGGAGGGUGGAAUUCCUGGUGUAGCGGUGAAAUGCGUAGAUAUCAGGAGGAACACCGGUGGCGAAGGCGGCCCUCUGGACGGAUACUGACGCUGAGGCGCGAAAGCGUGGGGAUCAAACAGGAUUAGAUACCCCGGUAGUCC